UGGGGAAUAUUGGACAAUGUGCGCAAGCCUGAUCCAGCCAUGCCGCGUGAGUGAUGAAGGCCCUAGGGUUGUAAAGCUCUUUCACCGGUGAAGAUAAUGACGGUAACCGGAGAAGAAGCCCCGGCUAACUUCGUGCCAGCAGCCGCGGUAAUACGAAGGGGGCUAGCGUUGUUCGGAAUUACUGGGCGUAAAGCGCACGUAGGCGGACUUUUAAGUCAGGGGUGAAAUCCCGGGGCUCAACCCCGGAACUGCCUUUGAUACUGGAAGGCUUGAGUAUGGAAGAGGUGAGUGGAAUUCCGGGUGUAGAGGUGAAAUUCGUAGAUAUUCGGAGGAACACCAGUGGCGAAGGCGGCUCACUGGACCAUUACUGACGCUGAGGUGCGAAAGCGUAGGGAGCAAACAGG
Molecule: ribosomal RNA, 404 nt
Filed under: Actinomycetes bacterium
Lineage: Bacteria; Bacillati; Actinomycetota; Actinomycetes
Description: Actinobacteria bacterium partial 16S ribosomal RNA
Rfam family: Bacterial small subunit ribosomal RNA
Source: RNAcentral